RNAcentral lists this ribosomal RNA (490 nucleotides) under uncultured bacterium. Its description in RNAcentral is "partial 16S ribosomal RNA". It matches the Rfam family "Bacterial small subunit ribosomal RNA", at positions 30 to 507 of the family's 1533-position model. The record is from RNAcentral.
AUUGAACGCUGGCGGCAGGCCUAACACAUGCAAGUCGAACGGUAACAGGAAACAGCUUGCUGUUUCGCUGACGAGUGGCGGACGGGUGAGUAAUGUCUGGGAAACUGCCUGAUGGAGGGGGAUAACUACUGGAAACGGUAGCUAAUACCGCAUAACGUCGCAAGACCAAAGAGGGGGACCUUCGGGCCUCUUGCCAUCGGAUGUGCCCAGAUGGGAUUAGCUAGUAGGUGGGGUAACGGCUCACCUAGGCGACGAUCCCUAGCUGGUCUGAGAGGAUGACCAGCCACACUGGAACUGAGACACGGUCCAGACUCCUACGGGAGGCAGCAGUGGGGAAUAUUGCACAAUGGGCGCAAGCCUGAUGCAGCCAUGCCGCGUGUAUGAAGAAGGCCUUCGGGUUGUAAAGUACUUUCAGCGGGGAGGAAGGGAGUAAAGUUAAUACCUUUGCUCAUUGACGUUACCCGCAGAAGAAGCACCGGCUAACUCCAUG